GAUGAACGCUGGCGGCGUGCCUAAUACAUGCAAGUCGAGCGAACGGACGAGAAGCUUGCUUCUCUGAUGUUAGCGGCGGACGGGUGAGUAACACGUGGAUAACCUACCUAUAAGACUGGGAUAACUUCGGGAAACCGUAGCUAAUACCGGAUAAUAUUUUGAACCGCAUGGUUCAAAAGUGAAAGACGGUCUUGCUGUCACUUAUAGAUGGAUCCGCGCUGCAUUAGCUAGUUGGUAAGGUAACGGCUUACCAAGGCAACGAUGCAUAGCCGACCUGAGAGGGUGAUCGGCCACACUGGAACUAAAGCACGGUCCAUACUCCUACGGGAGGCAGCAGUAGGGAAUCUUCCGCAAUGGGCGAAAGCCUGACGGAGCAACGCCGCGUGAGUGAUGAAGGUCUUCGGAUCGUAAAACUCUGUUAUUAGGGAAGAACAUAUGUGUAAGUAACUGUGCACAUCUUGACGGUACCUAAUCAGAAAGCCACGGCUAACUACGUG
RNAcentral lists this ribosomal RNA (497 nucleotides) under uncultured bacterium. Its description in RNAcentral is "partial 16S ribosomal RNA". It matches the Rfam family "Bacterial small subunit ribosomal RNA", at positions 28 to 507 of the family's 1533-position model. The record is from RNAcentral.